RNAcentral lists this ribosomal RNA (305 nucleotides) under uncultured bacterium. Its description in RNAcentral is "bacterial SSU rRNA". It matches the Rfam family "Bacterial small subunit ribosomal RNA", at positions 337 to 659 of the family's 1533-position model. The record is from RNAcentral.
GCCUACGGGGGGCAGCAGUGGGGAAUAUUGCACAAUGGGGGAAACCCUGAUGCAGCAACGCCGCGUGAGUGAAGAAGUAUUUCGGUAUGUAAAGCUCUAUCAGCAGGGAAGAAGAUGACGGUACCUGAUUAAGAAGCCCCGGCUAACUACGUGCCAGCAGCCGCGGUAAUACGUAGGGGGCAAGCGUUAUCCGGAUUUACUGGGUGUAAAGGGAGCGCAGACGGCAGUGCAAGUCUGGAGUGAAAGCCCGGGGCUCAACCCCGGAACUGCUUUGGAAACUGUACAGCUAGAGUGCAGGAGGGGUG